GCCUAGGAAGACCCAUAGCUCAGAGGGAGAGCAUCUGCUUUGCAUGUAGAAGGCCAGGGUUCAAUCCCUCAGCCACCUCAGUUAGGGCU
Non-coding RNA from Podarcis lilfordi (Lilford's wall lizard), 89 nucleotides. The record is from the annotation of a GenBank genome assembly. NCBI's taxonomy places the organism in Eukaryota, Metazoa, Chordata, Lepidosauria, Squamata, Lacertidae.